AAUCCGCCCGCUCCGGCUGCCAUCUUGGAUAUACAGUAAUGCCUACAGUGUGAAGCGCUUCACUGACGGAGAGCCGGAGAGAGACAGACACACACACAGGGAGAGAGAACACGGUUUCAUCCGAACUCCAGACACGUAACCAAGAGGAAUAUAUAUAUAUUUUUGAUUUUUUAAAAUAAGACAAAGCUGCUAAUUUUCGCUGCCCCUUUAGCCGGACAUGCUAACCGUCUCUGAGGGACCCGAUUUGGGCAAACGGACGCCGGCGAACCGUCGACAUUUCACCGCUUCGACGUUUUAACCGACGGUUUUUUUUUUCUUUCUUUCUUGUUCAUUUCUUUUCCUCAGAGACAACAAGAAAAAACGAAAAAAAUAUAUAUAUAAAUAUAGAUAUAUAAAUAAAAAUCCGCUAGUAUUUUGUCUUCUCUAUAACGUUAUAGUGCGUUAAAGAGAACGCUCGCGCGCACAAUGUGAAUAACAAAUAUAGCGUUAGCCUGGUUAGCUUUUGUUUAUUUUAAUUUUUUUAUUUGUGUAUUUUAUUAAACUAACCCGUUCGGUAUAUUCAGACGUUUAAUACACGUAUUAAUCUACCUCGGUGUCAUUUUAACAGCGUGCGGAUGUGAAUAUAACGUCCACGACUUUUGUCCGAUAAAAGUGACAAACGUUUUAUUUCGAUUUGUUUUUAUCGCUUGUAAAAUGUUAAAUUUGUAAGAUUUCAUAACAUUAACGUGGUCAGGUAUAGAAUUAUUAAGUGUUUGGUUUGGGGGGGGUGAAGUGUCCCAGAGAGAAGCUGUGAUCUGUCCGAUAGGGAUCUCGUUUUGAUCUGUUGUUCAGUUUCGAUUAACAAACUGAUAUUUUUUUUUUGAAUUAUUUACUUAUUAUUAUAUCGUAAUGUUAAUCUCUUCAACACAGAUAUAUAAUUUACAGCUGUGUUUUUCGCCCCUACGUGAUUUCUGUCUCUCUUUCUGGUCUUGUUGUUUCGAGCUGUAAACGAUUUUAUAUGAUCGAGUGGAUCAUCGAUAGGUCGUUAUUGAGCACUUGGGAUUCUUGGGAUUUUUUUUUACCCCCCCCCCCCCCACACCCUUCAGCAUGGAUGUGUUUUAAAGCAGUUGAUCACUGGUCAAGAGAGCGAACAGGGACAUUACUGGAGGCCUGUCGGAUUCUGACGGAAAGAACUACUUGUUUUUUUUAAAGGACCGCAAAUAUAUAAAUCUAUACAAUGGGUUCUGCGACAAAACUGGCCUUCGGAGUGUUCCUCAUCUCAUGCUCCUCAGGCGCCAUCCUGGGACGCUCCGAGACCCGUGAAUGCGUGCACUACAAUUACGGCCCGAGCUCAGAGCAGCAGGGCAACCGCACCGGCAUCGAGGCCUGCGUAGGUGACAAGGACAAGCGGCUGCACUGCUUCGCCACGUGGCGCAACGUGUCAGGGAAUGUCGCAGUAGUGAAGCAGGGCUGUUGGCUCGACGAUGUCAACUGCUACGACAGCACGGAGUGCGUGGAGAGGAAAGAGGACCCCGACGUGUUUUUCUGCUGCUGCGAAGGCAACAUGUGCAACGAAAAGUUUCUCUACAACCCGGACGCACAGCCUGUACAGAGUAAGACUCCGAUCACCGACCGAAGCAGUGGAGUUUUUAAGGCUACGUCUAACCCAUUUACCCAGAAGCCUCCACUGUUCAGCACCCUCCUAUACUCUCUGGUGCCGAUCAUGGGCAUCGCAGCCAUCGCCCUCCUCUCCUUUUGGAUGUAUCGGCAUCACAAGCUGGCGUAUCCACCCGUCCUGGUGCCCACGCAGGACCCUGGCCCCAUGCCCCCUUCGCCCAUCCUCGGCCAGAAGCCGCUGCAGUUGCUGGAGAUUAAAGCCCGCGGUCGGUUCGGCUGUGUGUGGAAAGCACAGCUGCUUAACGACUACGUGGCUGUCAAGAUCUUCCCCAUUCAGGAUAAGCAGUCUUGGCAAAACGAGUAUGAAAUAUACAACGUUCCUGGCAUGAGGCACGAGAACAUCCUCCACUUCAUCGGUGCUGAGAAAAGAGGGGUCAACCUGGACACCGAGUUGUGGCUCAUUACAGCUUACCACGAAAAGGGUUCGCUGACUGACUAUUUAAAAGCCAACGUGGUGACGUGGAACGAGCUUUGCCACAUCGCUCAGACCAUGGCACGAGGUCUAGCAUACCUCCAUGCCGAUGUCCCUGGCCUCCGAGACCGGCACAAGCCGGCCAUUGCUCACAGGGAUAUCAAGAGUAAGAACGUGCUGUUGAAGGCUAAUCUGACAGCCUGCAUCGCUGAUUUUGGCCUGGCCUUGAGGUUCGAGGCCGGCAAGUCCGCCGGGGACACACAUGGACAAGUGGGAACGAGGCGCUACAUGGCUCCCGAGGUGCUAGAGGGGGCCAUCAAUUUCCAGCGAGAUGCCUUUCUCAGGAUAGACAUGUACGCCGUGGGCCUGGUGCUUUGGGAACUGGCAUCCCGCUGCACAGCCGCAGACGGUCCAGUGGAUGAGUACAUGCUACCGUUUGAGGAGGAGGUGGGUCAGCACCCCACUCUAGAGGACAUGCAGGAAGUGGUUGUGCAUAAAAAACUGAGGCCCACGCUGCGCGAGUGCUGGCACAAACAUCCGGGCCUGAGCAUGCUGUGUGAGACCAUAGAGGAGUGUUGGGACCACGAGGCCGAGGCUCGUCUCUCAGCAGGCUGCGUAGAGGAGCGCGUGCUACAGGUGCAGCGCCUCAUCAGCAUUUCCGCCCCCGACGACAUCGUCACCAUCGUCACCAUGGUGACAAACGUGGACUUUCCACCCAAGGAAUCCAGUCUAUGACUAGAGGAGAACAGCGUGUGACGUUACAAGGGGGGGAAAAAACCCACACAAAGCUCGGAGCCGCUCGCUCGAAAUCCCUGGUGAUUGUACUGUAUAUUUGGUUGGUUGCGGUCACCAAUGCUGGAUCUUACAAUGUGCUCGUUUCAGUAGCACUUAGAGUGCGUGUGUGUGCAAACUCAUGUCAUGAGGCUUUCCGGAUAGGCUGAACAGAAUUCAACCUAACAAGAGGACCUCAGGCGACACACUGACUUUUAGCAACCGGACAGUGUCACACGUAGUGACACUCUCGUUUCAUCCGAACGAGAGAGAAACAGAGCUUUUUUUUUUUUUCUCUGAGCAAAGAAGGAGAAAAAGGAAAAAAAAAACUUCUUUUCCUUAUUUCAGUGUACAAAAAAGAGCAACAGUACUUUCUGAGAACACAUUUGACUCGUUGCAAUGCCAAUACGAAACAGCUUCUGAAUGUCUAGCGUGUCACUGCUGUAUAUUCAACCGAGAGGAUGAAAAAAAAAAUCAAUCGUUUUGUAUCUCUGGAUUUCCCUCCCAGCGUUUCUGUCAAAUAACCACGAACCUCUCUCGACAAGAGACCGAGGGUCCUAACGCUCAUUCUAACGCAAUAUCCUUUGCGUCUCUGCAACAUGAUUUGAUUUGCAUGGUGCUGACUGGCCACGUUAGCGUUUUCGGGAUAAGUCGUCCGCGAAACACCAGGUAAGCUCUUUCACUUCUGGAAAGCUGGCUUGUCUGCCGUCUCAGUCUGGAUUCGAGCCUAACAACUGCUAUUGUUUAGUAGCUUCUCGUAGCUGUUUUUUUUUUCCCCAAUGCCUUGUCGGUGUGUCUGAAAUGGAAAUCGGUGAGGCAUCGAUUUAUUUUAUGUUUUUUUUAACCACGAUCCGGUCCGAUCCAGCUGGGGGAGAGCAAUACAGAGGUUUGCGUGUAAUUUGUAAUUAUUUUCAUCCUAAGACGCAGACGAUGUAUUUGGCGAAUAGACGGCCUGAACACUAAGCCAGUGUUUAAUUAUCUAGUCAGUUCGUUUCGUCUAGAUGAACGUUUUGUGUGGUUAUUUACAUAUAAAUGUAAAUCUUCGAGUCAGAUAUAGGCGCUAUUUUGUAGGAAUCGGAUUUAACCGCACCUUCCCUAUCUGACUGUUAAUAACGGUUCAGUUGUGAGGGCCACCACGAAUUUCUCCGUCCUGUUGUUUUUUUUUUGUUUUUUUUUUAAUCAUUUAUGCUUUAACCAGCAGGUGGCAAUAAUUACACCAAACCAAAAUUCUCCACAAUUUCUCUGUAUGGCCAAAAAUCUGUAGACACCUGACCAUCGCAGGAAAAUGUGAUUUCUUCUCCAAACUGUUGCCACAAUGUUGGAAACCCACACCGCUAGUAACAGUUCUACAAUUUCACUUCACUGAUUCUAAGAGGCUUCAUCCUGCUCCUUCGGGAUGAACCGGAACCAUGACUGAAACCCAACAUCGGCGUCUGAUCUCUCUGACGCUCUCGUAGAAGAUCGAUCACAAAUCCUCAGAGCAAAUAGCGGAAAGACGUCUGCUACGACAGCAAAAAGAAGAUUAAACAUGGAGUGAAAUGUUUGACUAACACGCGACGGUGCGAUGGUCACGAGUGCACAAACACGCUCAUGCUGCCUCCUUAAAGACCAGACGGUAAGGAGGUUUCGGUUUCAGACAGCCGGGAUUUUCAGUGUUAUCGUGACGAUCAGGGCUUUGAGAGACUUCACCCUACGUUUCCUUUACUCACCCCUGGGUAGAUGAUGCACUGGGUCAUGUGAGAGCAUUGAAAAAAGAUCCUUACUCAACCCCUAAGCAUCCUUUCUCCUCUCUUCCCUCAUGUUUGCAGAAGACUGGAUUUAACAGUGCACCCGUAUGUAAAUACGAAUAACGUUUUAGAUUGUGAAAAGUAGCAUGAGGUUGUGUUUUUUUUUUUUUUUUUUUUACGGUUUCAAAAGCAAAAACACUUUAUUAAUAUUAUGGCGAAAUAAUAUUGUUGUUUAUUUUGUAUAUCUGUACUUUAGGUUGUUUUAUUAAUUUAUGUCACAGCCCAAACAGGUUAUUUUUAUUCCAAAUAAAUGAGACGUGGUUUUGCUCUAUUUAUACAACUGGUCUAGUGAAACACUAAAAAAAAAAAAAAAAAAAAAAAUAUUCUUGAUCUUGUCUCUUUACCUCAGACUUCCCGGUUCUGACUUGACGUUAUCACAACACGAAGAAGCAGUGUAGCACGACAGACAACAUGGUGCACGUGUUGUGAAACAUGUAACAUUCAAUGGGAAUCGACCAGCAGGUUCUCUCAGUUCUCUUCUUUCUUUUUCUCCUGGCAACAAAAAACGCACUUUGGUUUUUACUGAACUUUUUUCCCGCUCACUGCAACGCCACCGAUCGUCGCUGUACCAUCGUCAGUGCACGCAAACGUAUUACCGUAACCCCCGGACACGCCAUACGAGUAAAAGUAUUUAACAGUCAUAUUCAGGGCCUGGUUGGAAGUCGUUGUUACAUAUUGUACAUAUGAAAUUUUAUGCUACUCCUUCCUUCGAAUAAAGUAUAGUGACUGCUCUGA
Tachysurus fulvidraco (yellow catfish) is the source of this 5361-nucleotide RNA transcript. It is a transcript of the gene named activin A receptor type 2Aa, with no coding region annotated. NCBI's taxonomy places the organism in Eukaryota, Metazoa, Chordata, Actinopteri, Siluriformes, Bagridae. The transcript has 12 exons. The record is from RefSeq and is a predicted model, not a curated record.